GCCGGGAUAGCUCAGUUGGUAGAGCAGAG
This 29-nucleotide non-coding RNA is filed under the name Ephedra distachya. Lineage: Eukaryota; Viridiplantae; Streptophyta; Gnetopsida; Ephedrales; Ephedraceae. RNAcentral also lists the same sequence under 10 other names. The record is from RNAcentral.